Molecule: ribosomal RNA, 433 nt
Filed under: uncultured bacterium
Lineage: Bacteria
Description: partial 16S ribosomal RNA
Rfam family: Bacterial small subunit ribosomal RNA
Source: RNAcentral
AACGAACGCUGGCGGCAUGCCUAACACAUGCAAGUCGAACGAGACCUUCGGGUCUAGUGGCGCACGGGUGCGUAACGCGUGGGAACCUGCCCUUAGGUUCGGAAUAACUCCCCGAAAGGGGUGCUAAUACCGGAUAAUGUCUUCGGACCAAAGAUUUAUCGCCUUUGGAUGGGCCCGCGUUGGAUUAGCUAGUUGGUAGGGUAAAAGCCUACCAAGGCGACGAUCCAUAGCUGGUCUGAGAGGAUGAUCAGCCACACUGGGACUGAGACACGGCCCAGACUCCUACGGGAGGCAGCAGUGGGGAAUAUUAGACAAUGAGCGAAAGCGUGAUCCAGCAAUGCCGCGUGAGUGAUGAAGGCCUUAGGGUUGUAAAGCUCUUUUACCCGGGAUGAUAAUGACAGUACCGGGAGAAUAAGCUCCGGCUAACUCCGUG